GAUGAACGCUGGCGGCGUGCCUAAUACAUGCAAGUCGAGCGAACGGACGAGAAUCUUGCUUCUCUGAUGUUAGCGGCGGACGGGUGAUUAACACGUGGAUAACCUACCUAUAAGACUGGGAUAACUUCGGGAAACCGGAGCUAAUACCGGAUGAUAUUUUGAACCGCAUGGUUCAAAAGUGAAAGACGGUCUUGCUGUCACUUAUAGAUGUAUCCGCGCUGCAUUAGCUAGUUGGUAAGGUAACGGCUUACCAAGGCAACGAUGCAUAGCCGACCUGAGAGGGUGAUCGGCCACACUGGAACUGAGACACGGUCCAGACUCCUACGGGAGGCAGCAGUAGGGAAUCUUCCGCAAUGGGCGAAAGCCUGACGGAGCAACGCCGCGUGAGUGAUGAAGGUCUUCGGAUCGUAAAACUCUGUUAUUAGGGAAGAACAUAUGUGUAAGUAACUGUGCACAUCUUGACGGUACCUAAUCAGAAAGCCACGGCUAACUACGUG
RNAcentral lists this ribosomal RNA (497 nucleotides) under uncultured bacterium. Its description in RNAcentral is "partial 16S ribosomal RNA". It matches the Rfam family "Bacterial small subunit ribosomal RNA", at positions 28 to 507 of the family's 1533-position model. The record is from RNAcentral.